This 231-nucleotide ribosomal RNA is filed under the name uncultured bacterium. RNAcentral describes it as "partial 16S ribosomal RNA". It matches the Rfam family "Bacterial small subunit ribosomal RNA", at positions 547 to 769 of the family's 1533-position model. The record is from RNAcentral.
UAAUCGGGAAUCACUGGGCGUAAAGCGCACGUAGGCUGUUUGGUAAGUCAGGGGUGAAAUCCCGCAGGCUCAACGUGCGGAAUUGCCCUUGAUACUGCUGGACUUGAGUUCGGGAGAGGGUGGCGGAAUUCCAGGUGUAGGAGUGAAAUCCGUAGAUAUCUGGAGGAACAUCAGUGGCGAAGGCGGCCACCUGGACCGAUACUGACGCUGAGGUGCGAAAGCGUGGGGAGC